AGUGAACGCUGGCGGUAGGCCUAACACAUGCAAGUCGAACGGCAGCACAGGAGAGCUUGCUCUCUGGGUGGCGAGUGGCGGACGGGUGAGGAAUACAUCGGAAUCCACUCUGUCGUGGGGGAUAACGUAGGGAAACUUACGCUAAUACCGCAUACGACCUACGGGUGAAAGCAGGGGACCUUCGGGCCUUGCGCGAUUGAAUGAGCCGAUGUCGGAUUAGCUAGUUGGCGGGGUAAAGGCCCACCAAGGCGACGAUCCGUAGCUGGUCUGAGAGGAUGAUCAGCCACACUGGAACUGAGACACGGUCCAGACUCCUACGGGAGGCAGCAGUGGGGAAUAUUGGACAAUGGGCGCAAGCCUGAUCCAGCCAUACCGCGUGGGUGAAGAAGGCCUUCGGGUUGUAAAGCCCUUUUGUUGGGAAAGAAAUCCAGCUGGCUAAUACCCGGUUGGGAUGACGGUACCCAAAGAAUAAGCACCGGCUAGCUUCGUGCCAGCAGCCGCCGUAA
Molecule: ribosomal RNA, 506 nt
Filed under: uncultured bacterium
Lineage: Bacteria
Description: partial 16S ribosomal RNA
Rfam family: Bacterial small subunit ribosomal RNA
Source: RNAcentral